RNAcentral lists this ribosomal RNA (465 nucleotides) under uncultured bacterium. RNAcentral describes it as "partial 16S ribosomal RNA". It matches the Rfam family "Bacterial small subunit ribosomal RNA", at positions 28 to 507 of the family's 1533-position model. The record is from RNAcentral.
GACGAACGCUGGCGGCGUGCUUAACACAUGCAAGUCGAACGGAAAGGCCCUGCUUGCAGGGUACUCGAGUGGCGAACGGGUGAGUAACACGUGGGUGAUCUGCCCUGCACUUCGGGAUAAGCCUGGGAGACUGGGUCUAAUACCGGAUAGGAGCCAUUUUUAGUGUGAUGGUUGGAAAGUUUUUUCGGUGUAGGAUGAGCUCGCGGCCUAUCAGCUUGUUGGUGGGGUAAUGGCCUACCAAGGCGGCGACGGGUAGCCGGCCUGAGAGGGUGGACGGCCACAUUGGGACUGAGAUACGGCCCAGACUCCUACGGGAGGCAGCAGUGGGGAAUAUUGCACAAUGGGCGCAAGCCUGAUGCAGCGACGCCGCGUGGGGGAUGACGGCCUUCGGGUUGUAAACUCCCUUCGCUAGGGACGAAGCUUUUUGUGACGGUACCUAGAUAAGAAGCACCGGCUAACUACGUG